RNAcentral lists this ribosomal RNA (433 nucleotides) under uncultured bacterium. RNAcentral describes it as "partial 16S ribosomal RNA". It matches the Rfam family "Bacterial small subunit ribosomal RNA", at positions 29 to 507 of the family's 1533-position model. The record is from RNAcentral.
AACGAACGCUGGCGGCAUGCCUAACACAUGCAAGUCGAACGAAGGCUUCGGCCUUAGUGGCGCACGGGUGCGUAACGCGUGGGAAUCUGCCCUUUGGUUCGGAAUAACAGCUGGAAACGGCUGCUAAUACCGGAUGAUGACGAAAGUCCAAAGAUUUAUCGCCAGAGGAUGAGCCCGCGUUGGAUUAGGUAGUUGGUGGGGUAAAGGCCUACCAAGCCGACGAUCCAUAGCUGGUCUGAGAGGAUGAUCAGCCACACUGGGACUGAGACACGGCCCAGACUCCUACGGGAGGCAGCAGUGGGGAAUAUUGGACAAUGGGCGCAAGCCUGAUCCAGCAAUGCCGCGUGAGUGAUGAAGGCCCUAGGGUUGUAAAGCUCUUUUAACCGAGAAGAUAAUGACUGUACCGGGAGAAUAAGCCCCGGCUAACUCCGUG